UGAAAUGCAGUGUUCCCACAACC
RNAcentral lists this unclassified non-coding RNA (23 nucleotides) under Mus musculus (house mouse). Its description in RNAcentral is "oocyte_clustered_small_RNA6386". The record is from RNAcentral. Lineage: Eukaryota; Metazoa; Chordata; Mammalia; Rodentia; Muridae.